RNAcentral lists this transfer RNA (61 nucleotides) under Ornithodoros tabajara. RNAcentral describes it as "tRNA-Leu". The record is from RNAcentral. Lineage: Eukaryota; Metazoa; Arthropoda; Arachnida; Ixodida; Argasidae.
UUUAUCUUGGCAGAUUAAUUGUGUCAAAUUUAGAAUUUGAGGAUGACUUGGUCAGGUAAUA